Molecule: long non-coding RNA, 363 nt
Filed under: Phoenix dactylifera (date palm)
Lineage: Eukaryota; Viridiplantae; Streptophyta; Magnoliopsida; Arecales; Arecaceae
Description: long non-coding RNA (PDAC_LNC005996)
Source: RNAcentral
UUAAAUUUCCAGCCUUUACUUCACUAGUUGUUUCUGCACCAGUUGCCCAUUUUUGCUCCAUAGCCCCUUUCUGUGCAACUUCAGCGGCAGCUUUCUCUCUAGUUCUUGCAGCUUCCUUUUCCGCAGCUUCUUUAGCUGCCCUUUCAGCAGCAUCUUCUAAAGCUUUUUUUUGUGCUUCAGCUAAUUUUUCAGCCUUCAUUUUAGCCUGCAUUCAAUCAAAGGAAAACUUAUUAUACUACAGAAACGUAUUUAAGAAUCAAAAGCAGACAAAAGCCAUUUGUUAGUAGAGUUAUUAAAAUUCAAGAUUCAAUAUCAUUUUAAUAAAAGUAUGCAAUUCGUAAUUUGGUGAAAAAUCAAGAGAAA